ACACGGAUACGUUCCAUUCGAGGGAAGAUAGCAACAAGAUGCUUAAUGCGGAUUACUAGACUACUAUUAGAGCCUGUGCAAGGCUUAAUGGACUACAAAUGUAGUACGGGUAGGGGUGUGCUGAUAGCCCACCUCACACUCAAUCCAUACCCGAAAGGGUACAACAACAAGCUGGUGAACUGAAAUAUCUAAGUAACCAGCCAAAGAAUGAUUUUUAUCAUACUCUCCCAGUAGUGAAGAACGAAAGGAUAAAAGCUGCGAUCAUACAACGUCCUAACAGAUGGGGUGAUCAUAUAAUAAGUGACAACAACAUAGGCCUGAGCCCUAUAGCUGAGUAAGAAUAGUAGGCGAUAGUGAAUAGUACCGAGAGGGAAAGUUGAAUAAAGUAACACGGAUGUGUGGUGAAAUAGAACAUGAAACAAUAAGCAUAUAAAGAGGAGAGGUAAUUAAUGUACUGAUCCUUUACCUAUUGCAUAAUGGGUCAGUGAGUUAUUAACUUGAAGCAAGGUCAUACCGAGUGAACACAAUUUAAGUUUCAAUUAAUAGACCCGAACCCGUAGUGAACCAGCCAAGACCAGGUGAAUAGACCGAACUGGUGGAUGUUGUAAAAUCCUCAGAUGAGUUUUGGUUAGGGGUGAAAUGUUUAUCGAACACGGAUAUAGCUGGUUUUUUGCGAAACCUAUUUAAGUAGUUAUACUAUCGAUUCUUUAUCCAGUAUAGUACCAGAUUAGUCUGUUCUCAUAAAGGGAUAAUUGUAAGUAUAGUAUGUCAGAUGGUAGAUGAGAAGGUCUACUAUCAAGAGAGAAACAACUCUAUCUAUAGGUUAAAGUUCCCCAAUUGUAGCUAAGUGAAUCUAAGACAGUCGCCUGGUCAAUAUAUUCAUAAUGUAAGAAUAGUAGAUUCUAUCCUUAAGAGAGUGGAUAACACCACAAGGAAUGACUCUCUGAGUCUCAGGGUAUGUAUUGUCAUAAAUGUACGGAUCUAGUGCCUAUCAAUGAUGGGUACCGUGUUACAUACUUUAACCAUAGGCAAGUGGUGGGGUCUUGGCCCCUUCAGGUCGCACAGGUGUUCUCACCUGCUUCCACCCCCUUGCGGUAGCAAAACCGGGGGACCUAUGUCUCCCUUGAUUAUGCUGACAUGAGUAACGUAAAAUAGAGAGUACGAAUCUCUCUCCCCUCUAGCCCUAGGUUUUCGACGAUAGGCUUCAGCACGUCCGAGUUAUUUGGUACCUAACCUUUAAUUAGGGAUGGAUUCUAUGUACAACUUAUGCCAACUUGUUGGGGUUGUGAACCAGGAAAUACUAGUACCAUACUUAAACCGACUCUGGUGGGCAGUCAUGGUUUGGCCUAAUAAGCCCUACUGUGACCGGGGUACAGCUACCCAUCUAAAAGGAACUCGGCAAACUGGAAGGCGACUGUGACCUUGAAGUGCGACUAGUGAAUAUUUAAUAGUAAUGUGGUGUAAUUCCACCUUUAUCGGCUGUUAUAAAGAGUCUACCUGUACAUGCAUCCGUAAUAAGAUUGGGUGUGUGAAGCUACAGGGAAAUAUGUCAGGUACGCUUGGCAGACUAGAUACCAUGGUUAGGAACACGAAUCUGCUAUGACCUCCUAUUGGUCCUGAAUCACUCUAUGUUCGAGGGGGGUGAUUAACAGCUCUUUUGGGUCUAUAGGACUAGCAGGAACCUAAAGUAUCAUUAAGGUGCUAUUAAGUGAACUAGGUAACCUCUCUAAUCUGUGUAUGCUCGGGGGUCUCUUGGGUCUCUUGGGUCCAUCCACUAGAAAGUGAGUAAUUGCUUUUAUUUGAUUGGAGGGGGUAUGAUAGUAUAAAAAGCUAAUGCCCGGUUGUAAUGAUCGGGAUAGGAUCCUUUGAUCUGCUCCGAAAGGAGGCUGACUUAUAUAUAGGUGUCGAUAAUGAAUGAUUGUACUAGAUACAGCCCGCCAUACAUAACACUAUGGCACAAUGAACUCUAAACGUACUUGAACUAUUAAAUUUAGAUUCUAUCUAGGAUAUUUAUUAUUAAUGCUUGAGCCGUAUGCGAUGAAAGUCGCACGUACGGUUCUGAGGGGGGGAAAAUCUGUGAGGAUCUACCUAUCCCGAACUCAGUUAUAAGCAAACUUCAUAAGGAAGUAUUUAUAACGUCAUCUGCCCUAUGCUAGUAAGUGAAUGUUAUCGGUCGGCUCUGCUGAUCACAUGACCUAAGCUCUAGUCAAUGGCUGCUGUAACUGCCAGUAUACAUGGAUUUACUCUGGUUAACUAUUUGAUAAUGGCUAUGUUAAUGUCAGGCCUUCAUAUGUUUCGCUAUCUAAAAGCAAACAUUCCACUGUUUUAUCCUAGAUUCUACAGUGAUUCGAAGGUAGUUGUCUAUUGUAAGGUUAGAUUCCUUAGAUAGUCCGACCCCUGCAACUAUAGCCCAGGUCUCCCCUUAUGAUGGGGGCUGCUAUGUCCCUGAUGUUACCUCCCCGGCUCCCAUUAGGUUGCCCCUGUGACAGAGAAAGGACAGCAGACAAAGACUAUUAGCUACAAACAAUAAAUCUACGUUAGGGUUACAUUAAACUAAACUAUGUGCUGGAACCUCCUUACCUAGUGGACCCCUGUUCAACUCCGGUUGCCUGAGAACUAUGGGACCCUUGGACUUGUAUAAUAUCCACGUAUAACUUUCAUUAGUCAUCUAUCAGGUCGUCUACCAGACCAUCAGAUAAUCGGUACAGUGAAAGAUUGGACAAUCAGCAAACAACCUAGAAUCCUUUGGGAUGAUUGGGAGUAUCAGAGACUACUCGUUUAGCAGGUACAGACACUCUACUACCUGGUGAUAUAGUCCAAUUACAAUCCUGCUACUCUCACUAGUAAUCCCUACUGUGGGGUGACACUGGUCUGACGUGGCAGGUAGUCAGCUAACGGUACUAAGGUAGCGAAAUUCCUCGCGAUGCAAUUGCCGGGGACCUUAAUAACAUUGAACCCUUAUGACUAAUCUAUAGCAGAGGGUAGCCUUUUAUUAAUUGUGAAUAUCUCUAUAUGCUUAGAUAUCCUUAGAGCCCUAAAGCUGGUUUCAUACUAGUUUGGAUUGGAUAAUAGGCAGGUAACUAAGAUAUGUUCUUGGGAGCCUCAGAGACUAUAAGAGAGAAGAAGGGUGAUCCUUCUAUGAUAUAGUCCGACUACACUAGUUAGGGUCCAUAGGAUCAAUGGCUAGCAAAGGGAACUAGACCUUCUCUGUUGGUAGAAAUACUGUAGAUAAACGUGGCACUUAAUUGGUGUCCCUGCAUGAAUGGUGGAACGAUCUUCCGACUGUCUCUUAGGUGGACUGUGUGAAAUUAUAAUUCUAGUGCAAAUACUAGUAACUCUCAGAUGGACGGGAAGACCCUAUUGAGCUUCACUGUUAUGAAUUGUCGAGCAUACUAUGUUCUCUACCGAUUCAAAGACAGUUUCACUGGGGCGGUGUGCUUCUAAAUAGUAACGAAGCAUUACAAAGGUAAGAGGCAAAUUCAAUCAUACGAUAUUUGCACGGGAUGCAUUCAGUAUCCCUCUCAUAAUGGAUUGUACUUACUUGACAAGUUGGCCUACAAGCCUUCUUGGAAUCAAGGGUUAGAUAGUGAUCCUUGGUUUGUCAUAGUGAUCCGGAGGUUUAGGCCUUCGCUUAAAGAAUUAAAGCUACCAUAGGGAUAGCACCUGUUGUCCCUUACAAUCGGGUGAAUUGCAAGAACAUCCUAACCAGAAUAACAAGUUUUGGUGGACAAUUUGCAGCUAAGCUUAUAGCGGUUCUUAGAUUAAAUUAAAUCUCUGUGCUAUGAGAAAGUUCAACGACUAGAUAGUGAGUUAGCCAAACAAUAAUCUAUCCACGAGCGCCCGACAAAUUUGUAUAUAAAGAAGUACUCAGAGUACAACUGUUUGGACCCUUAGUUGCAUGGUCAUUUAGCUGUAUGGUAACUUAACUGUACCUGUGACCUGUGACCAUGUGCCCUUUGUCUAUUGACUGGGUACCUUAGCUUAGUCUCUUGACUGCUUGGUCUCUUGUCUGCUUGGUUUCCUAACGCUUUAUAGUCCAGAUUUGAUGACAUAGUCUGAACAGAGUAGUAAUACUUUGAAAUAGGCUUAAACGCUUAUUGUUAACAUAAUGAACAGGCUGGUAUAGAAUUGGAGUCCAUAUCUUAUUCUAUGUUCGGCACCUUUAAGUUAACCUUUAUUAACGAACAUAAUUCUAGGUAAGCAGACCGCUACUACCUUAAACCGUUAAUAGUAGGAACAAACAUCGGGGUGAAACUACAUUAGUAUGUUUCCUAAUCAAGCUAUAUGCUGGGACCUCCCUAAACUUAGACCUGCAAGCUCAUAGUUAGCUAGAGCACUGGUGCCCCUCACCCUGUCUCACACUAACAGAGUAUCACUAAGAUUGGACAAUCAGCAAGGCUCUUCAGGGAUAAUUCGUAUCUCUUAGGGUGCCUUCAGAGACUUUACGCUUGAAGACCUGUAUAACUCUGGGCCAUUCCUCAACGGGGGCGCCUCCAAGAGACAGGUCUAUUAUAGAGUCCGAACCGGAUUAAACGAUCAACGGUUAAAUCAAUGCGAUGUCGACUCAUCUUAUCCUGGGGCUGCAAGAGGUCCCAAGGGUGCAGCUGUUCUCUGCAUAAAAAGGUACGUGUUGCCUUAUAAAGUAAAGUUAAAUUUAGGGUACGUACUAGCAUAAAGCAACUAAUGGUUAUGAUCGCUAAUAUGAACUCUAAGCGUAAAGAUUUACUUAAGUGAGGAAUAGUAUUCCUUGCAACACAAGUGCUACGGUUAAAGGUCAUCUAUACAUCUAGAUGGUUAAGACCGUUAAUCAUGGAAGAAAUAUCCAGAUUGAAACAGACUGGUCCACUUGUGGGAAGCAUUUAGUGUUUCUUAAUGUACAGUCGGGACUAGUAGACUUAUAUAACUCCCGCCCCCCCUGUCGACCUUAGGGAUGGGGCCCUCAACUGGCAAUGGUAUACCAGAUACUGCUAUAUAAGCCCUAUUGUUUGACGUGAGUUGGGUUAACAAUUAGCCCUACAUUAUCAGUUAAUUAUAGACAAAUGGAUCGUUGAGGUCAGCAUAACGCUUAUCUCUACAGUACAAGUCAUGCACAACAGCAUGAAACAUAGAACAUAUACAAGCAAAACCCAACACCAAUCGUAGGGGGUUGCUGCAAGGCAAUCCUACGCUACCUAGGCAUUACACUUAUGAAAAACAAUCUACAUUAAAACUGGGUCUAUGGACAUGCUUAGGGAAUUGGUGUAGCCUCAUUAGCACGAAUCUAUGUAUUAUAAAGUGGGGGUGGAUAGCCCCCUUGUCGAUAGUUAACAAAUAAUAGUCUGGCCUUCUUAUAUAUAGUGCUUAGCAAUCUUGUAGAGGAUUGGCGGUACAGGUAACGAGUGAUCGCUAUCUCUAGCUAUAAACUAAUGCGGGUUAGGCAACACAAGUGAAAGACGGUUAAAACCUAAAUUAGGCAAGACCGUAGGUGUACUGUCUCUGUCUCUGCCCCCCAUGCAGCUUACCCUAGUGGAAGUAAAGGUGAGGGUCAUUGACUCAGUCAGCAUCUGUACAGACUGGAACCCUUGUGUAGGACCAAACAGGUCUGAGUAAUGUACAGUCGGAAAUCAACAAGAAUCAGACCCGAGCUGGCCCCUGCUCCCUCAACAGGGCUAUGGGGCAGUACGGGAGGCAACCUAGGAUGCCUAAGAUAUCUAGCAAUUAGGUGGCAUGGACAGUUUGAGUAUAGCCAGGUCCACCAAUUUAGAUUUUGUAAGAUCGUCGUGAGACAGAUCGGUCCCUAUCUCCUGAGAGGUUAGUAAGAAUAAGAUCGAGGAUCAUGGUACGAGAGGACCUGAUUAUAUAAACCACUGGUUAACAUGGUAAAUCCAUCCAAGCUAAGUUUAUCCCAGUUAACUCCUGAAAUCAUCUUAAGGAGGAAACACGGUCUGUUUAAGGCUUACUCAUAAUGAAGGAGAUAGAACAUCUCCUCGGAUUUGCACCAGGCACUCUUCUACUUACGGGCCCAGCUUCGGCUAGGCUACUAACUGGUGUAUCCAGGUUC
Molecule: ribosomal RNA, 6040 nt
Filed under: Chytriomyces confervae
Lineage: Eukaryota; Fungi; Chytridiomycota; Chytridiomycetes; Chytridiales; Chytriomycetaceae
Source: RNAcentral